This 352-nucleotide ribosomal RNA is filed under the name uncultured bacterium. RNAcentral's name for it is "bacterial SSU rRNA". It matches the Rfam family "Bacterial small subunit ribosomal RNA", at positions 22 to 356 of the family's 1533-position model. The record is from RNAcentral.
GCUCAGGAUGAACGCUGGCGGCGUGCUUAACACAUGCAAGUCGAGCGAAGCACUUAUCACUGACUCUUCGGAAGAUUUGAUAUUUGACUGAGCGGCGGACGGGUGAGUAACGCGUGGGUAACCUGCCUCAUACAGGGGAAUAACAGUUAGAAAUGGCUGCUAAUGCCGCAUAAGCGCACAGGACCGCAUGGUCCGGUGUGAAAAACUGAGGUGGUAUGAGAUGGACCCGCGUCUGAUUAGGUAGUUGGUGGGGUAACAGCCUACCAAGCCGACGAUCAGUAGCCGGCCUGAGAGGGUGAACGGCCACAUUGGGACUGAGACACGGCCCAGACUCCUACGGGAGGCAGCAGUA